AACGGACUUCAGGGCGGGGUGAAACUCCCCACCGGUGGUAAAAGCCUAGCUUGAGCCCACGAGCGCCUUAGUCUCUACUUUUAUGAGUAGUGGUUAAGGGACAGCAGAUCUGGUGUGAAUCCAGAGCCGACGGUUAUAGUCCGGAUGAAAGAAGUGACAC
This 160-nucleotide non-coding RNA is filed under the name Vibrio ezurae. RNAcentral's name for it is "FMN sequence". It matches the Rfam family "FMN riboswitch aptamer (RFN element)". Rfam says of the family: The RFN element is a highly conserved domain that is found frequently in the 5'-untranslated regions of prokaryotic mRNAs that encode for flavin mononucleotide (FMN) biosynthesis and transport proteins. This element is a metabolite-dependent riboswitch that directly binds FMN in the absence of proteins. RNAcentral also lists the same sequence under 1 other name. Lineage: Bacteria; Pseudomonadati; Pseudomonadota; Gammaproteobacteria; Vibrionales; Vibrionaceae. The record is from RNAcentral.